UUCUGGCUCAGGACGAACGCUGGCGGCGUGCCUAAUACAUGCAAGUCGAACGGUCUUUCUAUGGAAGCUUGCUUCCACUGAGAAGAUAGUGGCGAACGGGUGAGUAACACGUGGGUAACCUGCCCAUAAGAGGGGGGAUAACAUCCGGAAACGGGUGCUAAUACCGCAUAGUUUUCUUGAUCGCAUGAUCGGGAAAGGAAAGACGGCCUUUGUGCUGUCGCUUAUGGAUGGACCCGCGGCGUAUUAGUUAGUUGGUGAGGUAACGGCUCACCAAGACGAUGAUACGUAGCCGACCUGAGAGGGUGAUCGGCCACAUUGGGACUGAGACACGGCCCAAACUCCUACGGGAGGCAGCAGUAGGGAAUCUUCCGCAAUGGACGAAAGUCUGACGGAGCAACGCCGCGUGAGUGAAGAAAGGUUUUCGGAUCGUAAAACUCUGUUGUCAGAGAAGAACAAGUUGGAGAGUAACUGCUCCAGCCUUGACGGUAUCUGACCAGAAAGCCACGGCUAACUACGUGCCAGCCGCCGC
Molecule: ribosomal RNA, 529 nt
Filed under: uncultured bacterium
Lineage: Bacteria
Description: bacterial SSU rRNA
Rfam family: Bacterial small subunit ribosomal RNA
Source: RNAcentral